GAUGAACGCUGGCGGCGUGCCUAAUACAUGCAAGUCGAGCGAACAGACGAGGAGCUUGCUCCUCUGACGUUAGCGGCGGACGGGUGAGUAACACGUGGAUAACCUACCUAUAAGACUGGGAUAACUUCGGGAAACCGGAGCUAAUACCGGAUGAUAUAUUGAACCGCAUGGUUCAAUAGUGAAAGACGGUUUUGCUGUCACUUAUAGAUGGAUCCGCGCCGCAUUAGCUAGUUGGUAAGGUAACGGCUUACCAAGGCAACGAUGCGUAGCCGACCUGAGAGGGUGAUCGGCCACACUGGAACUGGGACACGGUCCAGACUCCUACGGGAGGCAGCAGUAGGGAAUCUUCCGCAAUGGGCGAAAGCCUGACGGAGCAACGCCGCGUGAGUGAUGAAGGUCUUCGGAUCGUAAAACUCUGUUAUUAGGGAAGAACAAAUGUGUAAGUAACUAUGCACGUCUUGACGGUACCUAAUCAGAAAGCCACGACUAACUACGUG
This 497-nucleotide ribosomal RNA is filed under the name uncultured bacterium. RNAcentral's name for it is "partial 16S ribosomal RNA". It matches the Rfam family "Bacterial small subunit ribosomal RNA", at positions 28 to 507 of the family's 1533-position model. The record is from RNAcentral.